Molecule: unclassified non-coding RNA, 353 nt
Filed under: fungal sp.
Lineage: Eukaryota; Fungi
Description: partial internal transcribed spacer region
Rfam family: Eukaryotic small subunit ribosomal RNA (bases 1-46)
Source: RNAcentral
AAGUCGUAACAAGGUCUCCGUAGGUGAACCUGCGGAGGGAUCAUUAACACGUUUUUAUUAACGUUCCCACCAAACAAAAGGAAACGAAAGAGGAGGAAAGUGAAAACGAUCCAAAUCUUAGCUAAGCUCCCUACCAACGUACGUGUACAGAAGUAGGCUAUUCUUUUAUUAACCCCUUUCCAACUAGAUUUUGAGAUUCUCUCAAGAUCGACUAACUUGCCCUGUAUCUAGUAGUGUAGGAAUUGAUAAUAAAAUAAUAAUUAAUUUUAUUAAUUUUAUUCUUUUUUCCUUUCCCUUCUAGCUUGAUAUUUAAAUGCAAAGCACAACUCUUAGCAACGGAUAUCUUGGUUCUC